CCGUAACUGACACUCACACUCAGGGAGUCUGGGUCAGUCUUAUGCUGGUUCCCCAGUUAUCAGACUGGGGUCCAUGAAGCUCCAUGUGCUCAGGUCAUCUGUUUCUGUGGGUUUCCCCAGCAUGGUCUUGACCACUUUGCUCAUCAUUUCUCCCUCUCUACAACUGGAUUCCAGGAGUUCAGCUUUCAUCUAGCAGUUCGUGGAAGUAGAAGCAGACACCCACAGCCAAUCACUGAACUGAACUGGAAUCCAGUUGCAGAGAAGAACGAGUGAAGAGCAAAGGGGUCCAGGCCAGGCUGGUGAAACCUGAAGAAACAGGUGAACUGAACAUCAGGGAGCUUUUGGUCCCCAGACUGAUAGCUGGGAUACCAGCAUGGGACUGAUCCAGACCCCAGGAUCAUGGGUUUCAAUGAGGACAUAGCUUACAAGUAUUGACUGACAUCUGGGGAACCUGCAUGGGAGUGAACUAGACCCUCUGAAUGUGAGCAACAGUAAUUUGGCUUGAUCUAUUGGGGGGGCUGUCAGUUGGAUCAGGACCUCUCCUGGGGGCAUGAGCUGGCUUUUAGGAUUUCAUUUCCUAUGGUGGGGUACCUUGUUCAGCCUUGCUGUAGUGGGGAGGGGCUUGG
RNAcentral lists this long non-coding RNA (626 nucleotides) under Cricetulus griseus (Chinese hamster). RNAcentral describes it as "lncRNA (ENSCGRG00015030637.1)". The record is from RNAcentral. Lineage: Eukaryota; Metazoa; Chordata; Mammalia; Rodentia; Cricetidae.